AGUGAACGCUGGCGGUAGGCCUAACACAUGCAAGUCGAACGGCAGCACAGUAAGAGCUUGCUCUUACGGGUGGCGAGUGGCGGACGGGUGAGGAAUACAUCGGAAUCUACUUUUUCUUGGGUGAUAACGUAGGGAAACUUACGCUAAUACCUCAUACGACCUACGGGUGAAAGCAGGGGAUCUUCGGACCUUGCGCGAUUGAAUUAGCCGAUGCCGGAUUAGCUAGUUGGCGGGGUAAAGGCCCACCAAGGCGACGAUCCGUAGCUGGUCUGAGAGGAUGAUCAGCCACACUGGAACUGAGACACGGUCCAGACUCCUACGGGAGGCAGCAGUGGGGAAUAUUGGACAAUGGGCGCAAGCCUGAUCCAGCCAUACCGCGUGGGUGAAGAAGGCCUUCGGGUUGUAAAGCCCUUUUGUUGGGAAAGAAAAGCAGCAGGUUAAUACCCCGCUGUUCUGACGGUACCCAAAGAAUAAGCACCGGCUAACUUCGUG
Molecule: ribosomal RNA, 492 nt
Filed under: uncultured bacterium
Lineage: Bacteria
Description: partial 16S ribosomal RNA
Rfam family: Bacterial small subunit ribosomal RNA
Source: RNAcentral